CUACGGGAGGCUCCAGUGAGGAAUAUUGCACAAUGGGGGAAACCCUGAUGCAGCAACGCCGCGUGGAGGAUGACGCAUUUCGGUGUGUAAACUCCUUUUAUGAGUCAAGAAAAUGACGGUAGCUCAUGAAUAAGCACCGGCUAACUCCGUGCCAGCAGCCGCGGUAAUACGGAGGGUGCAAGCGUUACUCGGAAUCACUGGGCGUAAAGGACGCGUAGGCGGGCUUGUAAGUCAGGUGUGAAAUCCUACAGCUUAACUGUAGAACUGCACUUGAAACUACGAGCCUAGAGUAUGGGAGGGGCAGAUGGAAUUAGUGGUGUAGGGGUAAAAUCCGUAGAUAUCACUAGGAAUACCUAAAGCGAAGGCGAUCUCCUGGAACAUUACUGACGCUAAGGCGUGAAAGCGUGGGGAGCAAACAGGAUUAGAUACCCCCGUAGUC
This 439-nucleotide ribosomal RNA is filed under the name uncultured bacterium. RNAcentral describes it as "partial 16S ribosomal RNA". It matches the Rfam family "Bacterial small subunit ribosomal RNA", at positions 339 to 795 of the family's 1533-position model. The record is from RNAcentral.